Molecule: non-coding RNA, 74 nt
Organism: Glossina palpalis gambiensis
Lineage: Eukaryota; Metazoa; Arthropoda; Insecta; Diptera; Glossinidae
Source: Rfam
CGGCGAGUAGCGCAGCUUGGUAGCGCAACUGGUUUGGGACCAGUAGGUCGGAGGUUCGAGUCCUCUCUCGCCGA